GUACUUGCUUCGACAGCACAUACACUAAAAUUGGAACGAUACAGAGAAUACUGGCACUGGCUCUGCGCAGGGUGGCACGAAAAAUAGUGAAGCGUUCCACAUUUUU
This is a small nuclear RNA of Schistocerca cancellata (South American locust), 106 nucleotides long. The record is from RefSeq and is a predicted model, not a curated record. NCBI's taxonomy places the organism in Eukaryota, Metazoa, Arthropoda, Insecta, Orthoptera, Acrididae.